Molecule: ribosomal RNA, 328 nt
Filed under: uncultured eukaryote
Lineage: Eukaryota
Description: partial 18S ribosomal RNA
Rfam family: Eukaryotic small subunit ribosomal RNA
Source: RNAcentral
CCCUUAGAUGUUCUGGGCUGCACACGCGCUACACUGAAGGGAUCAGCGUGUUCUUUUCCUGGUCCGAAAGGAUCGGGUAACCCGCUGAACCCCCUUCGUGGUAGGGAUCGGAGCUUGCAAUUAUUCUCCGUGAACCAGGAAUUCCCAGUAAGCGCAAGUCAUAAGCUUGCGUUGAUUACGUCCCUGCCCUUUGUACACACCGCCCGUCGCUACUACCGAUUGGGCGUUUUAGUGAGGAUUUUGGACUGAGCCAAUGGUGGUUCACACCACUGUUGUGCAUGGAAAGAUCUCCAAACUUGAGCGUUUAGAGGAAGUAAAAGUCGUAACA